AUCGCUUCUGGGCCUUUUGACUAAGAUCAAGUAUAGUAUCUGUUUUUAUCAGUUUAAAGACUUAAUAGUAACAUGUACAUAUUUCUGCUUGAACUUGACACAGGCAAUCGUU
Molecule: small nuclear RNA, 112 nt
Organism: Equus asinus (donkey)
Lineage: Eukaryota; Metazoa; Chordata; Mammalia; Perissodactyla; Equidae
Gene: U2
Rfam family: U2 spliceosomal RNA
About the family: U2 is a small nuclear RNA (snRNA) component of the spliceosome (involved in pre-mRNA splicing).
Source: Ensembl